UACGGAGGAUGCGAGCGUUAUCCGGAUUUAUUGGGUUUAAAGGGUGCGUAGGCGGAGUGUCAAGUCAGCGGUAAAAUUUCGGGGCUCAACCCCGUCGUGCCGUUGAAACUGACACCCUUGAGUGAGUGAGAAGUAAGCGGAAUGCGUGGUGUAGCGGUGAAAUGCUUAGAGAUCAUACAGAACACCGAUUGCGAAGGCAGCUUACCAAGCUACUUCUGACGUUGAGGCACGAAAGCGUGGGGAGCAAACAGG
This 252-nucleotide ribosomal RNA is filed under the name uncultured Bacteroidales bacterium. RNAcentral describes it as "partial 16S ribosomal RNA". It matches the Rfam family "Bacterial small subunit ribosomal RNA", at positions 524 to 776 of the family's 1533-position model. The record is from RNAcentral. Lineage: Bacteria; Pseudomonadati; Bacteroidota; Bacteroidia; Bacteroidales.